UGGCUCUCAACCUUCGACCUCUCCCGAGUCCGUACAGGAGUUGCAGUGAUGGGAAAAGACUGUAACUGCCAAUUGUCGGAGAAAAAGAGAACGACGGAUCUUCAUCUCAGUCAGCUGGAUGUAACGGAGAACGUUGGUGUCUGGAAUACAAAGACAGAAAAAGGCUGCUUUAUCAAAAAAAAACAUUCUUUAUUAUCUUCUGUUCAAGCAGGAAGCAUACGAUUUCCAUCCAAUUGGAAUUUGCUGACAUCCAGAAAAAUGAUGUAAUGAUCAUCAUGUACCUGCCAGACUGUUGUAACAUUCCAGCUCGGCGUUCUCCAUGGCACCUUUCUGCUCGUCUGUCAGGCUGUCUGGCUUGGUUAUAGUAGGCAGCACAGAGGAAGGAGACUUAGAGCUGGCAUCAGGGUCUCCCAGCACCCGGCACAACCCCUUCAUCUCUAAUAAAGCGCGG
Molecule: non-coding RNA, 451 nt
Organism: Salmo salar (Atlantic salmon)
Lineage: Eukaryota; Metazoa; Chordata; Actinopteri; Salmoniformes; Salmonidae
Source: RefSeq, a predicted model, not a curated record